UCUAGCAUAUCAAUAAGCGGAGGAAAAGAAACUAACAAGGAUUCCCCUAGUAACUGCGAGUGAAGCGGGAAAAGCUCAAAUUUAAAAUCUGGCGUCCUUAGGGCGUCCGAGUUGUAGUCUGGAGAAGCGUCUUCCGCGCUGGACCAUGCAUAAAUCUCUUGGAACAGAGUAUCAUAGUGGGUGAGAAUCCCGUCUUUGGCAUGGACUACCAGUGCUUUGUGAUGCGCUCUCAAAGAGUCGCGUUGUUUGGGAAUGCAGCGCAAAAUGGGUGGUAAAUUCCAUCUAAAGCUAAAUAUUGGCGAGAGACCGAUAGCGAACAAGUACCGUGAGGGAAAGAUGAAAAGCACUUUGGAAAGAGAGUUAAACAGUACGUGAAAUUGUUGAAAGGGAAACGCUUGAAGUCAGUCGCGUCGUUCGGGACUCAGCCUUGCUUCUGCUUGGUGUAUUUCCUGUACGACGGGCCAGCAUCGAUUUUGAUCGUUGGAAAAAGUUCAGGGGAAGGUGGCACCUCCGGGUGUGUUAUAGCCCCUGUUCGCAUGCAACGGUUGGGAUCGAGGUUCGCAGCACGCCUUUAUGGCCGGGGUUCGCCCACGUACGUGCUUAGGAUGCUGGCGUAAUGGCUUUAAACGACCCGUCUUGAAACACGGACCAAGGAGUCUAACAUGCCUGCGAGUGUUUGGGUGUAAAACCCAUCCGCGUAAUGAAAGUGAAAGUUGAGAUCUCUGUCAUGGAGAGCAUCGACGCCCGGUCUUGAGCUUUGGCGACGGAUCUGAGGUUGAGCAUGUAUGUUGGGACCCGAAAGAUGGUGAACUAUGCCUGAAUAGGGUGAAGCCAGAGGAAACUCUGGUGGAGGCUCGUAGCGAUUCUGACGUGCAAAUCGAUCGUCAAAUUUGGGUAUAGGGGCGAAAGACUAAUCGAACCAUCUAGUAGCUGGUUCCUGCCGA
This 944-nucleotide ribosomal RNA is filed under the name Corticium thailandicum. RNAcentral describes it as "partial large subunit ribosomal RNA". It matches the Rfam family "Eukaryotic large subunit ribosomal RNA", at positions 33 to 964 of the family's 3401-position model. Lineage: Eukaryota; Fungi; Basidiomycota; Agaricomycetes; Corticiales; Corticiaceae. The record is from RNAcentral.